RNAcentral lists this transfer RNA (74 nucleotides) under Blenniella gibbifrons (hump-headed blenny). Its description in RNAcentral is "tRNA-Trp". It matches the Rfam family "tRNA". From Rfam's summary of the family: Transfer RNA (tRNA) molecules are approximately 80 nucleotides in length. Their secondary structure includes four short double-helical elements and three loops (D, anti-codon, and T loops). Lineage: Eukaryota; Metazoa; Chordata; Actinopteri; Blenniiformes; Blenniidae. The record is from RNAcentral.
AAGAGUUUAGGCUAAUCCGACAAGACCAAGGGCCUUCAAAGCCCUAAGUGGAGGUUAGAGUCCUCCAACUCUUA